GACGAACGCUGGCGGCGUGCUUAACACAUGCAAGUCGAACGGAGUGGCGAACGGGUGAGUAACACGUGGGUGAUCUGCCUUGCACUUCGGGAUAAGCUUGGGAAACUGGGUCUAAUACCGGAUAGUGCAAGAUGAGCUCGCGGCCUAUUAGCUUGUUGGGGGGGUAAUGGCCUACCAAGGCGUCGACGGGUAGCCGGCCUGAGAGGGUGUACGGCCACAUUGGGACUGAGAUACGGCCCAGAGUCCAACGGGAGGCAGUGGUGGGGAAUAUUGCACAAUGGGGGGAAGUCUGAUGCGGCGACGCUGGGUGGGGGAUGAAGGUCUUCGGGUUGGAAACUCCUUGCGACAGGGACGCGGUACCUGUAUAAGAAGCACCGGCUAACUACGUGCCAGCAGCCGCGGUAAUUC
This 408-nucleotide ribosomal RNA is filed under the name uncultured bacterium. Its description in RNAcentral is "partial 16S ribosomal RNA". It matches the Rfam family "Bacterial small subunit ribosomal RNA", at positions 28 to 526 of the family's 1533-position model. The record is from RNAcentral.